Pipra filicauda (Wire-tailed manakin) is the source of this 253-nucleotide long non-coding RNA. RefSeq lists it as uncharacterized. The record is from RefSeq and is a predicted model, not a curated record. The transcript has 3 exons. NCBI's taxonomy places the organism in Eukaryota, Metazoa, Chordata, Aves, Passeriformes, Pipridae.
AACAGUUGAGGACAGUUUUUUCUCUUGCCUUUGCUAAAAGAUACAGGCAUGUCAGUUAUUUCCUACGACUCCACAAGUUAUUUAAAGGACAGAAUGGAAGAGAAUUGAGUAGUUCUGAUCAGAAGGGACCUUCAACAACCACGUAGUCCAACUGCAAGUAGUGGUGAGCAGAAUCAUGGAAUAUGCUGAUUUGGAAGAGACUCAUCAGGAUCAUCGAGUCCAACUCCUGGACCUGCACAGGGCACCCCAAGAG